CAGGAAUGGAACCCACAACCUUCCGCUGUACAGGAUGAUGCUCCAGCCAACUGAGCUCAUAGGCUGGUGAACAGAUUUGACCCUGAAGACGGUCUUCCCAUUGACAAGGAAGGAAAUUCCCAGGGAAAAUGUUCCAGAUGACCAGGACCAGCCCAGAGGCACACUGGAAGCUCGGUGCUGUGGAGGACACCGCCGUCCUGUUUACAAAUAUAACUGCACUUGUUUUUUAUCCUAUGUUACAUGACUGGACUUUUAGUUUUUACCUGUAAAAUAAAGAGAACCUGAUGUUUUCA
Long non-coding RNA from Myotis lucifugus (little brown bat), 293 nucleotides. RefSeq lists it as uncharacterized. The transcript has 2 exons. The record is from RefSeq and is a predicted model, not a curated record. NCBI's taxonomy places the organism in Eukaryota, Metazoa, Chordata, Mammalia, Chiroptera, Vespertilionidae.